GACGAACGCUGGCGGCGUGCUUAACACAUGCGAGUCGAACGGAAAGGCCCCUUUGGGGGUACUCGAGUGGCGAACGGGUGAGUAACACGUGAGUAACCUGCCCUUGACUUCGGGAUAACUUCAGGAAACUGGGGCUAAUACCGGAUAGGAAUCCUUGCUGCAUGGUGGGGGUUGGAAAGCUUCGGCGGUUUUGGAUGGACUCGCGGCUUAUCAGCUUGUUGGUGGGGUAGUGGCUUACCAAGGCUUUGACGGGUAGCCGGCCUGAGAGGGCGACCGGCCACAUUGGGACUGAGAUACGGCCCAGACUCCGACGGGAGGCAGCAGUGGGGAAUAUUGCACAAUGGGCGGAAGCCUGAUGCAGCAACGCCGCGUGCGGGAUGACGGCCUUCGGGUUGUAAACCGCUUUCAGCAGGGGCGAAGCUUGUGGUGACGGUACCUGCAGAAGAAGCACCGGCUAACUACGUG
Molecule: ribosomal RNA, 465 nt
Filed under: uncultured bacterium
Lineage: Bacteria
Description: partial 16S ribosomal RNA
Rfam family: Bacterial small subunit ribosomal RNA
Source: RNAcentral